RNAcentral lists this ribosomal RNA (838 nucleotides) under Clostridium botulinum. Its description in RNAcentral is "partial 23S ribosomal RNA". It matches the Rfam family "Bacterial large subunit ribosomal RNA", at positions 1233 to 2087 of the family's 2925-position model. The record is from RNAcentral. Lineage: Bacteria; Bacillati; Bacillota; Clostridia; Eubacteriales; Clostridiaceae.
GGAGCUUUCUGUAUGGGUUGAAGUCGUACCGUAAGGAGCGGUGGACUGUACAGAAGUGAGAAUGCUGGCAUAAGUAGCGAGAAAUAAGUGAGAAUCUUAUUGGCCGAAAACCUAAGGUUUCCUGAGGAAGGUUCGUCCGCUCAGGGUUAGUCGGGACCUAAGCCGAGGCCGAAAGGCGUAGGUGAUGGACAAUCGGUUGAUAUUCCGAUACCACCUAUUUACGUUUGAGAAAUGGGGUGACGCAGUAGGAUAAGAUGUGCGCACUAUUGGAUGUGCGUCUAAGCACUUAGGCAUGCUUGAUAGGCAAAUCCGUCGAGCUAAGCUGAGGUGUGAUGGGGAGCCAUUUAUGGCGAAGUAUCUGAUUCCACACUGCCAAGAAAAGCCUCUAUCGAGUGAAUAGGUGCCCGUACCGCAAACCGACACAGGUAGGUGAGGAGAGAAUCCUAAGGCCAUCGGAAGAAUUGCUGUUAAGGAACUCGGCAAAUUGACCCCGUAACUUCGGGAGAAGGGGUGCCUACGAAAGUAGGCCGCAGAGAAUAGGCCCAAGCAACUGUUUAGCAAAAACACAGGUCUCUGCUAAAGCGAAAGCUGAUGUAUAGGGGCUGACGCCUGCCCGGUGCUGGAAGGUUAAGGGGAACACUUAGCGUAAGCGAAGGUGUGAACUUAAGCCCCAGUAAACGGCGGCCGUAACUAUAACGGUCCUAAGGUAGCGAAAUUCCUUGUCGGGUAAGUUCCGACCCGCACGAAUGGCGUAAUGAUUUGGGCACUGUCUCAACAGCAAAUCCGGCGAAAUUGUAGUGCAAGUGAAGAUGCUUGCUACCCGCGAUUGGACGGAAAG